RNAcentral lists this unclassified non-coding RNA (2254 nucleotides) under Hermetia illucens (black soldier fly). RNAcentral's name for it is "uncharacterized LOC119649593, transcript variant X3". Lineage: Eukaryota; Metazoa; Arthropoda; Insecta; Diptera; Stratiomyidae. The record is from RNAcentral.
UAAAAUAGAUGCAGAGCUGAAGUGUCAAGCUUUGUCUUAGAACAUAAGUUGCUGCUGCUAGUUUCGUAGUGAUUCUCCCCCAAAGAUGACUUUAAUACAAAGAGUGUGCUUAAUAUUGUUUGUUCUCUGUUUACUUAAAUAUAGUUUUAGCGUGCACAAUAAACACCCAGUGUUAUUUUCAAAGUUAGCAACAUGCCAAGAGUUCUCUUUGGAAGCGGAUAAAUGUCUUCACUUUUUCCCUUUUGAGAAAAUUAAAAACUACAAAUCAAAGGAGAACAAAAUCCACUUGAAGUUGUAUGUGAUGGCCUCAAUGGACGCAAACAUUGUACUCACAAAUGGUUACGGAGAAGGAACUGUUCGUUACACAGCUGUUACGUACAUCACACAUCUUCACAACCUAUAAUAUCGUUUUCACGUUGUUCGCCGCUCGUAACUACAUUCUCGGAAAAAUAUCCGGUUUGAUCUCUCUGAAAUGAUUGUUUAUUCACAUUUCAAAUGAGUGAAGUACAUUCGAUAAACAUAAUUCAUGAUCGGGUGUAUAUCCUAAGAAGUCCAGAUCAGAGCAUAUAACCGGUUAAAUCACUGCAUUUUCAAAAGGACUCAGAUAUUUAUUGGAGGUGUGGGGAAUACCUAUUCUUGGUUAAGAAACACAAGUGAUACAACCAUAGGCUUAGACAGUCAUUUGCCUAAUAUUCUGUCCCCACUUUGGCCCACCCCAAUCAUUAUCGAACAGAAACAUGAUGGAAGGUUGGAUGUAUCAAUACCCGAAGUAGCAGAGCCACUUCUGACGACUGACGCGUCCGAUUUGACGAAUGUCCAAUCUUUUUGCCUAUAUGCAUGGAGGAAUCCUUGUCGAUGGUUCUUUAACUGUACUGAGAUUGAAGAUGAUCUCUUAGAUGACUUUUAGAUGCGAGUGUGCUGAGUAGAAGCGAUGGUUAAGAAAUUAAAGCAAAUCUGAUUUAAAUAUUCUAAAUACCAAUUUAUCAUUUCGAAAUCAAAAUAUUUUCAAUCAUUUACUGAAAGUAAGCAAUAGAUCACAUCAGUCAAACUGAGCAGAAAACUAAGAUAAAUUUCUAGUUAAGGUACGACGAAUCAACUGUCAUUGUUGGUUAGGUUUUUUGAUCCUCUAGAUCCGGGUGGUUCAUCCAUCUCAUUGAGUAAAUGAUUAAGCCAUAGGAUUGUCGCCCUUUCUUUUCAUGUGCUCAUUACCAUAUUCGUCGACGAGUGGUUCAUUUACAUGUGAAAGUAACUGUAUAGUUCCUCUGAUUAUAAUUUCCAUGGCCAGACGGCUUAUUCUUAAGUGGAAAGGACCCUCAAGCGCUAUAAAGUGUUAAAAAUUGCUCCCCACAGCGUCUGGACACGAAAUCUAAUUAUAAUAAUAUAAUAAUCGUUGGUGCAACAAUCCGUAUUGGAUUAGGGCCUUGAAGUGUGUUAGAGCACUUCAUUCAAGACCAAAACGGUACACUACAGUCCACAGUAGGAGGCAAUGUGGUCAGCAUUGCGCUCGCCCGAGAUUAUUACCCUGAUUUGACUCAGGUACUCAUUCACGGCUGAGUCGACUGUUACCGACAUCCAGUCCCUCUGCUGUCAUUGAGAUUUGAACCGCGACCUUCCGCUACGACAGCCCAAUGCUCUAACCACUGAAGUCAUCCGAACACAAAAGAAAUAAGCUUGCGAAAACAAAAAUAAAGUUUUUAAUUUGAGAAGUAUUGAGGGUUAGUUAUAUGCAGAUUCAUUCAUUCAUUCAUAUGAACGACGCAUUGGAGAAUGAAAUUGAGGAUCCUACGAACUGCUAAUUAAAGCUCUUCGACGAGCUGAAGAUCAGGCGAUUUGAAUGCUGCUGCAAUGAGAUCGAACAGAACAACCUCGAACCUCGAACCCCACCACCUUAUAUAUCGAAGAGAAUAGACACACCGGAUACCAGAGGACCGAAACCUCUCCUCACUAGAGAAAUAUAGGAACAGAAUAAAAAUUGAGCUUGCGUCAAACAAGUUUCACCGCCGAAGCCGAAACGAUGACCCAGAGGUUGACGAAAAACAAGGUUGGAACAGAAGCGUGCUGAAUUAUAUCGUCUUCUGAAGAUCUCAGAAAGAGACAACAAGCGACACUUCAUGGAACUACUGAGAAAACUACAAUACCGAAAAAUGGCACUGUCGAAAAAAACGAUAUUAAGGCAGCGAUAUUUAUAAUAGUCAUAAUAUAAUAAUAUGCUAUGAUAGUAUUAUAAUAAUAAAUAUGUCGCUAAAAAGUUAAA